RNAcentral lists this ribosomal RNA (111 nucleotides) under Caerostris extrusa. The record is from RNAcentral. Lineage: Eukaryota; Metazoa; Arthropoda; Arachnida; Araneae; Araneidae.
AACGGUCAUUCCAUGCUGAAUAUACCGGUUCUCGUUCUAUCACCGAAGUCAAGUAUCAUUGGGCGCGGUCAGUACUUGGGUGGGUGACCACCUGUGAGCACCGCAUGCCGU